RNAcentral lists this ribosomal RNA (253 nucleotides) under uncultured bacterium. RNAcentral's name for it is "partial 16S ribosomal RNA". It matches the Rfam family "Bacterial small subunit ribosomal RNA", at positions 524 to 776 of the family's 1533-position model. The record is from RNAcentral.
UACAGAGGUCUCAAGCGUUGUUCGGAUUCAUUGGGCGUAAAGGGUGCGUAGGUGGCGCGGUAAGUCGGGUGUGAAAUUUCGGAGCUUAACUCCGAAACUGCAUUCGAUACUGCCGUGCUUGAGGACUGGAGAGGAGACUGGAAUUUACGGUGUAGCAGUGAAAUGCGUAGAGAUCGUAAGGAAGACCAGUGGCGAAGGCGGGUCUCUGGACAGUUCCUGACGCUGAGGCACGAAGGCCAGGGGAGCAAACGGG